CCCUUAGAUGCUCUGGGCCGCACGCGCGCUACACUGGUCGAUGCAACGAGUUUCUUUCCUUGGCCGACAGGCCUGGGCAAUCUUUGAACAUCGAUCGUGAUCGGGAUAGAUUAUUGCAAUUAUUAAUCUUCAACGAGGAAUGCCUAGUAAGCGCAAGUCAUCAGCUUGCGUUGAUUACGUCCCUGCCCUUUGUACACACCGCCCGUCGCUCCUACCGAUUGAAUGGUCCGGUGAAGCGUUCGGACCGUGGCCUUUGGACGGUUCGCCGUCUGUUGGCUGCGGGAAGUUCGUUAAACCUUAUCAUUUAGAGGAAGGAGAAGUCGUANCA
RNAcentral lists this ribosomal RNA (328 nucleotides) under uncultured eukaryote. RNAcentral describes it as "partial 18S ribosomal RNA". It matches the Rfam family "Eukaryotic small subunit ribosomal RNA", at positions 1470 to 1796 of the family's 1831-position model. The record is from RNAcentral.